This 440-nucleotide ribosomal RNA is filed under the name uncultured bacterium. Its description in RNAcentral is "partial 16S ribosomal RNA". It matches the Rfam family "Bacterial small subunit ribosomal RNA", at positions 338 to 795 of the family's 1533-position model. The record is from RNAcentral.
CCUACGGGUGGCAGCAGUGGGGGAUAUUGGACAAUGGGGGGAACCCUGAUCCAGCGACGCCGCGUGAGUGAAGAAGUAUUUCGGUACGUAAAGCUCUAUCAGCAGGGAAGAAAAUGACGGUACCUGACUAAGAAGCCCCGGCUAACUACGUGCCAGCAGCCGCGGUAAUACGUAGGGGGCAAGCGUUAUCCGGAUUUACUGGGUGUAAAGGGGGCGUAGACGGGGCAGCAAGCCUGAUGUGAAAGGUCGGGGCCCAACCCCGGGACUGCAUUGGAAACUGUGUAGCUGGAGUGCAGGAGGGGUAAGCGGAAUUCCUGGUGUAGCGGUGAAAUGCGUAGAUAUCAGGAGGAACACCAGUGGCGAAGGCGGCCUACUGGACUGCAACUGACGUUGAGGCCCGAAAGCGUGGGGAGCAAACAGGAUUAGAUACCCUAGUAGUC